RNAcentral lists this non-coding RNA (24 nucleotides) under Mus musculus (house mouse). The record is from RNAcentral. Lineage: Eukaryota; Metazoa; Chordata; Mammalia; Rodentia; Muridae.
CAAGUGGUUAAGGCAGGGCGGAUU